Molecule: ribosomal RNA, 459 nt
Filed under: uncultured bacterium
Lineage: Bacteria
Description: partial 16S ribosomal RNA
Rfam family: Bacterial small subunit ribosomal RNA
Source: RNAcentral
CCUACGGGCGGCUGCAGUGAGGAAUAUUGGUCAAUGGACGCAAGUCUGAACCAGCCAUGCCGCGUGCAGGAAGACGGCUCUAUGAGUUGUAAACUGCUUUUGUACGAGGGCAAACGCAGAUACGCGUAUCUGUCUGAAAGUAUCCUACGAAUAAGGAUCGGCUAACCCCGUGCCAGCCGCCGCGGUAAUACGGAGGAUUCCAGCGUUAUUCGGAUUUAUUGGGUUUAAAGGGUGCGUAGGCGGACUGGACAGUCAGCGGUAAAAUCGAGAGGCUCAACCUCUUUCCGCCGUUGAAACUGUCGGUCUUGAGUGGGCGAGAAGUAGGCGGAAUGCGUGGUGUAGCGGUGAAAUGCAUAGAUAUCACGCAGAACUCCGAUUGCGAAGGCAGCAUACCGGCGCCCGACUGACGCUGAGGCACGAAAGCGUGGGUAUCGAACAGGAUUAGAUACCCCAGUAGUC